CGCGUGAGUGAAGAAGGCCUUCGGGUUGUAAAGCUCUUUCGCAAGGGAAGAAAACUUAUGAUCGAAUAAAUCAUGAGGUUGACGGUACCUUGAUAAGAAGCACCGGCUAACUACGUGCCAGCAGCCGCGGUAAUACGUAGGGUGCGAGCGUUAAUCGGAAUUACUGGGCGUAAAGCGUGCGCAGGCGGUUUUGUAAGUCGGAUGUGAAAUCCCCGGGCUCAACCUGGGAACUGCGUUCGAAACUGCAAGGCUAGAGUGUGUCAGAGGGGGGUAGAAUUCCACGUGUAGCAGUGAAAUGCGUAAAGAUGUGGAGGAAUACCAAUGGCGAAGGCAGCCCCCUGGGAUAACACUGACGCUCAUGCACGAAAGCGUGGGGAGCAAACAGGAUUAGAUACCCUGGUAGUCCACGCCCUAAACGAUGUCAACUAGUUGUUGGUAGAGUAAAAUCUAUGAGUAACGUAGCUAACGCGUGAAG
RNAcentral lists this ribosomal RNA (475 nucleotides) under beta proteobacterium Mzj2. RNAcentral describes it as "bacterial SSU rRNA". It matches the Rfam family "Bacterial small subunit ribosomal RNA", at positions 398 to 864 of the family's 1533-position model. Lineage: Bacteria; Pseudomonadati; Pseudomonadota; Betaproteobacteria. The record is from RNAcentral.